This 284-nucleotide long non-coding RNA is filed under the name Phoenix dactylifera (date palm). Its description in RNAcentral is "long non-coding RNA (PDAC_LNC019513)". Lineage: Eukaryota; Viridiplantae; Streptophyta; Magnoliopsida; Arecales; Arecaceae. The record is from RNAcentral.
UUGAUGCUGCGAUUAUAACUGCCUGUGAUGUGUCGUUUGCAUGUGAUGUAAAUGAGAGCGGGGUAGAUAGGUUUACAUGUGAUGUAGCAAACCCAAUUGAGACCUAAAUUAAAACCUCCUCAAUCAAGUCGAGAGUGAACCAACAUGAGCGAGUCAUAUUAGAUUAAUUGAUCUAAUUGGUGUCUACGAAAGCAUGAAAGGUGGUUACUUAAUUAGGACCUUACUCUCUGAGUAAGGGGAGCCUCCCACCUGUUUACCUGGCCAAUUGUUCGAUUACCUCUUAU